CCAAUAGUUAUCAAGGUCACUACUAUUGCCACCCGUAUGUAGCAACAGCACAUUGGCAGUUUUAUCAUGACGUCAUUUGUACUUGACGAGUUUGGAAGAUGACGGACGACGCGGGUUUCUUAAUGGUAUAACCUGGGGGGAAAUGCUUUUUUUUUUGUUAGCGAGGAACAAAUUCAAACCCCGGAUGUUAAUUCCGAAAUUGUACACAUGACUUCAACGAGAAAAUAUUUCACUUUGCUCCCCUGCUCACGCUGGAUGUGCAUGUAUACCGCCCUAUCCAACAGCUAACUGCGCGCGCCAGACUGAGGUUACUCAAGCUACCUCUGAGUGGGCCAAGCGCUGGCCAUUAGAGGUUCUGAGGAUUUUCAAAGGACUUUUCUUUUGGAGGGCAGAGUUUGGAGAAGGGCGGGGGGCUGGCGUUGUGCUGGACGCGUGUCAAACGGUCAAUCUAAAUCCAUGGAAACUAACAUGGAAACUAUCAAGCAAUUUACAGCCGUGCCAACCGGCCCUAUUGGAUUCCUUUAUCCCACCCCGCC
Esox lucius (northern pike) is the source of this 536-nucleotide long non-coding RNA. NCBI's taxonomy places the organism in Eukaryota, Metazoa, Chordata, Actinopteri, Esociformes, Esocidae. The record is from Ensembl.